RNAcentral lists this ribosomal RNA (406 nucleotides) under uncultured bacterium. Its description in RNAcentral is "partial 16S ribosomal RNA". It matches the Rfam family "Bacterial small subunit ribosomal RNA", at positions 29 to 526 of the family's 1533-position model. The record is from RNAcentral.
AUUGAACGCUGGCGGCAGGCCUAACACAUGCAAGUCGAACGAGUCGCGGACGGGUGAGUAAUGUCUGGGAACCUGCCUGAUGGACGGGGAUAACUACUGGAAACGGUAGCUAAUACCGCAUACCAUCGGAUGUGCCCAGAUGGGAUUAGCUAGUAGGUGGGGUAAAGGCUCACCUAGGCGACGAUCCCGAGCUGGUCUGAGAGGAUGACCAGCCAGACUGGGACUGAGACACGGUCCAGAAUACAACGGGAGGAGGCAGUGGGGAAUAUGGCAAAAUGGGCGCAAGCCUGAUGCAGCCAAGCCGCGUGUAUGAAGAAGGCCUUCGGGUUGUAAAGUACUGUCAACGGGGAGGCGUGACCAGAAGAAGAAGCACCGGCUAACUCCGUGCCAGCAGCCGCGGUAAUUC